UGGAAACGAUGACUAAUACCGCAUGUGGUCCUCGGAAGGCAUCUUCUGAGGAAGAAAGGAUUUAUUCGGUACAGGAUGGGCCCGCAUCUGAUUAGCUAGUUGGUGAGAUAACAGCCCACCAAGGCGACGAUCAGUAGCCGACCUGAGAGGGUGAUCGGCCACAUUGGGACUGAGACACGGCCCAAACUCCUACGGGAGGCAGCAGUGGGGAAUAUUGCACAAUGGGCGAAAGCCUGAUGCAGCAACGCCGCGUGAAGGAUGAAGGGUUUCGGCUCGUAAACUUCUAUCAAUAGGGAAGAAAAUGACGGUACCUAAAUAAGAAGCCCCGGCUAACUACGUGCCAGCAGCCGCGGUAAUACGUAGGGGGCAAGCGUUAUCCGGAAUUACUGGGUGUAAAGGGAGCGUAGGCGGCAUGGUAAGCCAGAUGUGAAAGCCUUGGGCUUAACCCGAGGAUUGCAUUUGGAACUAUCAAGCUAGAGUACAGGAGAGGAAAGCGGAAUUCCUAGUGUAGCGGUGAAAUGCGUAGAUAUUAGGAAGAACACCAGUGGCGAAGGCGGCUUUCUGGACUGAAACUGACGCUGAGGCUCGAAAGCGUGGGGAGCAAACAGGAUUAGAUACCCUGGUAGUCCACGCCGUAAACGAUGAGUGCUAGGUGUCGGGGAGGAAUCCUCGGUGCCGCAGCUAACGCAAUAAGCACUCCACCUGGGGAGUACGACCGCAAGGUUGAAACUCAAAGGAAUUGACGGGGGCCCGCACAAGCGGUGGAGCAUGUGGUUUAAUUCGAAGCAACGCGAAGAACCUUACCAAGGCUUGACAUCCCGAUGACCGUCCUAGAGAUAGGACUUCUCUUCGGAGCAUCGGUGACAGGUGGUGCAUGGUUGUCGUCAGCUCGUGUCGUGAGAUGUUGGGUUAAGUCCCGCAACGAGCGCAACCCUUAUCUUCAGUAGCCAUCAUUCAGUUGGGCACUCUGGAGAGACUGCCGUGGAUAACACGGAGGAAGGUGGGGAUGACGUCAAAUCAUCAUGCCCCUUAUGUCUUGGGCUACACACGUGCUACAAUGGCUGGCAACAAAGUGACGCAAGACGGCGACGUUAAGCAAAUCACAAAAACCCAGUCCCAGUUCGGAUUGUAGUCUGCAACUCGACUACAUGAAGCUGGAA
RNAcentral lists this ribosomal RNA (1160 nucleotides) under human gut metagenome. RNAcentral's name for it is "bacterial SSU rRNA". It matches the Rfam family "Bacterial small subunit ribosomal RNA", at positions 151 to 1331 of the family's 1533-position model. The record is from RNAcentral.